Long non-coding RNA from Sinocyclocheilus grahami, 141 nucleotides. RefSeq lists it as uncharacterized. The record is from RefSeq and is a predicted model, not a curated record. NCBI's taxonomy places the organism in Eukaryota, Metazoa, Chordata, Actinopteri, Cypriniformes, Cyprinidae. The transcript is spliced from 3 exons.
AAUAUGGUAAGUUUUUUCUAGGGGUGGCACGAUACCAUUUUUUCAGAACCGAUCCCGAUGCGAUACCAAAAGUUCUGAGUAUCAGACAAUAACGAUACCAGCACAGUUUUUGUUUUGUUUUUUUCUAUACCUCAGUGUGUG